GGACCCGUAGCUCAGUUGGCUAGAGCGCUCGGUUUACAUCCGAUAGGUCGCAGGUUCGAGUCCUGCCGGGUCCACUA
This 77-nucleotide transfer RNA is filed under the name Candidatus Woesebacteria bacterium. RNAcentral describes it as "tRNA-Val". It matches the Rfam family "tRNA". Rfam says of the family: Transfer RNA (tRNA) molecules are approximately 80 nucleotides in length. The record is from RNAcentral. Lineage: Bacteria; Candidatus Woeseibacteriota.